AGCGAACGCUGGCGGCAGGCCUAACACAUGCAAGUCGAACGAACUCUUCGGAGUUAGUGGCGGACGGGUGAGUAACACGUGGGAACGUGCCUUUUGGUUCGGAAUAACUCAGGGAAACUUGUGCUAAUACCGAAUGUGCCCUUCGGGGGAAAGAUUUAUCGCCAUUAGAGCGGCCCGCGUCUGAUUAGCUAGUUGGUGAGGUAACGGCUCACCAAGGCGACGAUCAGUAGCUGGUCUGAGAGGAUGACCAGCCACACUUGGACUGAGACACGGCCCAGACUCCUACGGGAGGCAGCAGUGGGGAAUCUUGCGCAAUGGGCGAAAGCCUGACGCAGCCAUGCCGCGUGAAUGAUGAAGGUCUUAGGAUUGUAAAAUUCUUUCACCGGGGACGAUAAUGACGGUACCCGGAGAAGAAGCCCCGGCUAACUUCGUG
RNAcentral lists this ribosomal RNA (433 nucleotides) under uncultured bacterium. Its description in RNAcentral is "partial 16S ribosomal RNA". It matches the Rfam family "Bacterial small subunit ribosomal RNA", at positions 29 to 507 of the family's 1533-position model. The record is from RNAcentral.